UGCCAGCCGCCGCGGUAAUACGGAGGGUGCGAGCGUUGAUCGGAAUUACUGGGCUUAAAGGGUGCGCAGGCGGAAUCGUUAGUGUCUUGUGAAAUCCCACGGCUCAACCGUGGAACUGCAGGGCAUACUGCGAUUCUUGAGGCCGGUAGGGGUAAUCGGAACUCUAGGUGUAGCGGUGAAAUGCGUAGAUAUCUAGAGGAACACCAAAGGUGAAGACAGAUUACUGGGCCGGACCUGACGCUCAUGCACGAAAGCGUGGGUAGCGAAGAGGAUUAGAUA
This 279-nucleotide ribosomal RNA is filed under the name uncultured bacterium. Its description in RNAcentral is "partial 16S ribosomal RNA". It matches the Rfam family "Bacterial small subunit ribosomal RNA", at positions 506 to 784 of the family's 1533-position model. The record is from RNAcentral.